UACGUAGGGUGCAAGCGUUAAUCGGAAUUACUGGGCGUAAAGCGUGCGCAGGCGGCUUUGCAAGACAGAUGUGAAAUCCCCGGGCUUAACCUGGGAAUGGCAUUUGUGACUGCACGGCUAGAGUGUGUCAGAGGGGGGUAGAAUUCCACGUGUAGCAGUGAAAUGCGUAGAUAUGUGGAGGAAUACCGAUGGCGAAGGCAGCCCCCUGGGAUAACACUGACGCUCAUGCACGAAAGCGUGGGGAGCAAACAGG
Molecule: ribosomal RNA, 253 nt
Filed under: uncultured bacterium
Lineage: Bacteria
Description: partial 16S ribosomal RNA
Rfam family: Bacterial small subunit ribosomal RNA
Source: RNAcentral